AAAGAUUUCUCAUCAAUUUCAUCUGUCCAACAAUCUCUCCAGCGACUGGAACAUUCAUAUCCAUGGGUUGGAAGCAACAUCGUAUCCUAUUAAUAGAUCUGAAGCCUCUAUGUUCACUUUUCUUCUCGCCAAUCCUGAAUUUUGCUACUGUAAAGGAAGGUCCCAAAAUUUGAAUCUAACAUCACUUGCACCCGCCAAACAAUAAAAUAAGAAGACAUGUUCCAGAAAUCCACUUCAGUUUGAAAUAAAAUACUGUACAUUCUAUCCCUUGUAUAUUAGCAGUCAUCCACUUGAAUAGACACCAGAAAGAACAUACUCCGCUGUCAGAAGCAUACCAACAAACAGGUAGAGGCCGCCAAGGCGCCAACACGCAAGAACAUAUAACAUUCGUGGAUUAUGUGAAUGAAGCAGUAAACCAAACAGAGCAAAAACUAAUAUAAAUAUGCAAAUGGUCAAAAUGAGCAGAUUAUACAAGAACAAAGGGAACCUUAAACUUCUGAUUUCCUCUCCGUAUACUAAUAAAAAAUCUGUAAGAUUAUGAGCUAAAAGCUUGACAUGAUGAUUUAAACUCAUAACCAAAUUUGUACACAACAUUUUCUUUUUCAAGGAACAUAAGAAAAGGAAUCAUACAAACUAGUCUGUAGCCGGGAAUUUCAAUCAGUAAUGGAGAUGCAUGCCAUCAGUCUAUCUAGUCUAGAUUAAAACAAGCUAGUAGUCAAAAUAAACCAUCCCAGGAAGCCAGAAGUCACUAAAGAUUGUUUUUUGGGGACAAAACCUACUCUUUCCGGUCACCUAAAUAUACAGUUUCAUUUAUUGAGAAAUCGAACCUUUUUUUUUGAACCAUCAAAGACAGUAGGAAAGAUUCGUACAAUCCUACUGACAUGUAUUAACUCAUGAAUAACAAUUUACAAUUAAAUGCUGGAGUCUCAGCCUAUUCCUUCUCUCCCCAUGACUGAGGAAAAGGUUAUAGAGUAACCGCAAAGAGAAGGAGCUCUAAACUAGAGAGUUUACAAAAGAGUUUAUAAAGGGCCCUAGGGUAGGUUUGGUUCUGUGAAAUGGUACUAAUACUCCACCCCACCCCCCACCCCCCCUCUCAAUCAUGCACUGUAUCAAGCUUUUUAAGACAUUACGCGUGUGGUAUAUGACAAUGCUGAACACUCUUCCUCCCGUAAUCAAUGGAGGAUGGAAACAAUAGCAUUUUCUUACUAUAAGGAGAUGGGCGCAAAGUAAUAUGAAUGUAUAACCAUAGUCAUAAACUAUGAAUUGACAUCUACAUGUCGAGUAAAGUUAAAUUAGAAAUGACACUAUUUAUGAACAAAAACAAGAAAAAACUCUGACUAAGCACAUACAAGUGGGGAAAAGAAAAUAUGACAGUCUGAGUACUAAGCUUGUCGGAGAGCUAUGCCCAAAACGCCAUACAUUCAGGGACGAGAUCAAAAUAGUAUACAAAAUGCUUCAGCUCUGCAUUUGGGGACGUAAUCCAUCCAAAUUCAGGAAACUACUCCCUCCGUUCCAAAUUACUCGUCGCAGAAAUGGAUGUAUCUAGAACUAAAAUACAUCUAGAUACAUCCAUUUCUGCGACGAGUAAUUCGGAACGGAGGGAGUAUAUUUCUUAUAGAAUCUAACUUAAUUCAAGCAGAUAUUACAGUUAUUUCCCACUCCUGAAAAUCAAAACUGAACUCUGGGAUCAGAAUUCAUGUUAUCUAAAUAUUACAGUUUGGACAGGACAAUUGUAGAACCUUCAGCCUAUUUUUUUUUCUUCGGUUGUGGAGCUAUCAAUAUAUAUUUUGGAGGCAAUGCUAUCCCUGUACUAACGAGAGCAAACUCGAAAACGGAAGAGCGCUACUGAAUCCCCAAUUUGCUGGAACUACCAAAGGCACUAGUUCUGAACGCCAAUUAAAUAGCUGCAUAGUCCAGCCAGCUAGACUAGGAGCUACAGAGUAGCCAGCAGGUAGCCUCGUACUAUCGUCAGAUCAAGUUAAUUUUGUGGCGCACAUGAACAUCUCCUGAAGCGGCUGAUGCAAUCAAAUUUGGGACUAUUAAAAUGAAGAGGAAUCGAGCCACACUCCUAACCAAUCCGAAUACCAAUGGUUCUUGUUUUUCUUCAGGCCACCAUCAAACAGGCCAUAGAUGAGGUGCCCUGUUUGAUGGUUCAAUAAAUGACUGUCUAUGAAUAAAACCAAUAAGAUAUCUGACUAAGCACAUACAAACUACGCAAAAGAAAUUAUGACAGCCAGAGUACUAAGCUUGUGCGAUAGCUAUGCCCAAAACAAAUAUAUUUGAGGACGAGACCGAAAUAAAAUACAUAAUGUUUCAGCUCUGCACUUGGGGACACAAUCCAUCCAAGUUUAGCUAACAUAUUUUCUUACUGAAUCUAACUUAAUUCAAGCAGAUACUUGGCAUGGGAGAGUAAACUACACAUACAUGACGGAGAGGGGGCGAUACUGAAGAACUCCGAUGGUGAACACCUAGUUGCUGACCGUUGUUGUGGGAGUAGAUGCAGCCCGCAUCAAACAGAAUGCCAACCACCACCGUACCCUAACAAUGAUUGCCAGUGAUGUUAAAAUAUUAUACAAGAACAGAACUUCUAUAUGAAAACAGUAAAUAAACACAUAAUUCGAGCAGAUAUAUUGGAUGGGAGAAUAAGACACAUACUCAUAAAUUGAUGGAGAGGGGGCGAUACUGAUUGUAUUACUAUGGUCAUAGCAAGUGAUAAGUAAAAGUGCACUAGGAUUUCCUUUUUGAAGUUAUUACUUCAUACAAUUUCUUAUUUAUCCAGUAAUCUAUGCGGAGACUGUUCGAGCUAACUCAGCAUUUCCUUAAUCCAAUUAUAGAUGACCUGGUAGCCCUUCAUAAAUUUUCAUGUUGUGAAGAAAGUUUCAAGUAGCUAAUUCAAUAUUUACACAGAGACAUCAGGCUAGCUGAAACCAAAACAAAGUGAACACGGUGAUGGUCAUAAGACUACUUGAUUAUUAUUUUUCUCCACGCCUUAAAUCCGAACUGAACUCUUAGAUCACGAUUCAUUUCAUCUAAAUAUUACAGUUUGAACAGGACAAUGGUGGAACUUUGAGCAAACAAUUUUUUUUCAUUGGUUUGUAAAGUUAUCACUCUAUAUUUUGGAGGCAAAGCUAUCCCUGUACUAAGGAGAGCAAACUCGAAUACAGAAAAACACCCAUAAGCUUUAUACUGAAUCCCCGAUUUGUUGGAACAACGGAAGACAAUAGUUCCGAAUUCCAAUUAGGUAGCUGCAUAGUACAGCCUGCUACACUAGGAGCUAGGGAGUAUGCCUACUCGUACUAUCUUAAGAUCAAGCUAAUUUUGUGGCGCACCAUGGCCAUCUCCUGAAGCGGCUGAUGCAAACCAAAAUUUGGGACUAAUAAACCGAAGAGCAUUCGAACAACACUCCUAACAAUUCGGAAUACCAAUGGUUCUGGUUUUGCUUCAGGGUUCAGGCUAUCAUCAAACAGAGCACCUCAUAUACCGCAUGUUUGGCAAAUGAUGGGGAGAGCAAUAGGAGAUUAAAGGAGGGAGUUAGAAGGCCCCCCUGGGUCUGUGUACCCCCGCCUCAGCAACCUGAUAUUUAAUCAACAACCCAACCUGAACUUGAGUGAGAAAACAUUCUCCUAGAUCCUGAAUAUACAGUAGAUGUUUCCUUACUGGGAACAACCUUAUACAAGAAAGCACAGCCAAAGCAUGAACCUAGCAAGUAAGUAAAUAUCUAAGGUAGUCAGAUAUGAUUGCAAUUCUUUAUCGCUUCACUGAUGAGGCUUGGUGCACACUUCUCUUCCUAUAUAAUAUGCUAAUUAAUCUAAAUGGCAGUAGCAAAGUGACUAAUAAGAAGAUACAGAGAAGCAUCGAGAGAGAGAGAACCUGGGGACGGCUUUGGGUGGCAGCUAUGCGACAGAGGCCAUGGAACCUGUGUUGCUGCUGCUACCUUGCAUGAUUGCAUCUUAGAUGGAGGAGGGCAAUAGUCAGCUCGCUGGAGAGUUCACAGAGACGGCCUCGGCUUUGUCCGGGCCCCGGAGCAGUUGUGACGGAGGGGUCGCAAGCCUUGCUCCCAUCAGAACCCCUCCUUAUGCCGCCGUGCGCGACGAAGAGAAGAGGAGCGUGGAGUGGAGGCAGGGGCCGCCGCCGCCGUGGGGACGAGAGUCCAGCGGCGAAAAUAGGGGAGCGCGGGUGCGGGUUAUGGAGAAGGAGGUCGGGCCAUGGUCCUCGUCCAUCGCCACAGGCAAGGAAGGGAGAGGGGGAUGGAGGCGGGUCGCCACACUGUCGCCGCCGAAGAGGCCGCCACCCACCGUGAAGCCUCUUGCAGCACCGGCCGCUCGCCUCGGUGCUGCCUCCGGCAAACGGGGCACCACCAGUGCCACACGCAUCCGUGUCCAGCGGCAGCUCGCCGUCGAAACCUCCCGCCGCUCGCCUCCGAAAAACUGCUCGCCGCUUAGAUCCAAAAUGCCGGGGUUAUCCAUUCAUUUUUUUUUACUUUUGAUCGACGGAAAGAGUGGGUUAACCGUCGCCUUGAGAAAAAAAAAAACUUGACCGGACAGCGNNNNNNNNNNNNNNNNNNNNNNNNNNNNNNNNNNNNNNNNNNNNNNNNNNNNNNNNNNNNNNNNNNNNNNNNNNNNNNNNNNNNNNNNNNNNNNNNNNNNNNNNNNNNNNNNNNNNNNNNNNNNNNNNNNNNNNNNNNNNNNNNNNNNNNNNNNNNNNNNNNNNNNNNNNNNNNNNNNNNNNNNNNNNNNNNNNNNNNNNNNNNNNNNNNNNNNNNNNNNNNNNNNNNNNNNNNNNNNNNNNNNNNNNNNNNNNNNNNNNNNNNNNNNNNNNNNNNNNNNNNNNNNNNNNNNNNNNNNNNNNNNNNNNNNNNNNNNNNNNNNNNNNNNNNNNNNNNNNNNNNNNNNNNNNNNNNNNNNNNNNNAUGGAACUUGCGUGUCAAUUAUAUAAAUGUAGAGAUACCUGAACAGACAGGUGCUUUAUGCUUUGGCUAUCAGUCACGGUUAGUAUAUGUGCAAGAAAAUAUUUCAAGUGUUUGAGGGAACUAACCAAAUGAACCACGAAAUCAGUGGCCCGCAAGAAUCGAUAAUAAUUCUGUCGACUAAAACUGCUUUCUAGACAAGUCAGUGUAUGAUUACACUUAUUUAUAUUUUGUACAAUCAAGCUUUACAUUCACGGAUUUGUUUCUAAACGCCUGGGUCAUUAAUUUAGUUUGUUGUCAAAUCAAUUACCUCCCACGGAUUUGUUUCCACAGCCGGUCAAAAUAUACAAAAUAUCAUAGUUUCGCAACUGGGCAUAAUCUGAUAUAUAUAUAUAUAUAUAUAUAUGCAAGGAGGAUCUGUUACAUUUUUCAGGAAGUAGGUAGUCCGUCACUGUCUAGAAUGUGGUUCUUAAAAUUGUACUCUUCUUUUUGGAUGGCCCUAAGAGCAACUUCAAUGGAGUGACCCAUUUCGUCCGCCGUCUUUCGUUUGGGUCGGCGCUGACACAAAAGCUGACCCAAUGCACCGACCUAAACGGAUGCGCGUCCGAUUUUGUUCGUCUGCCGACCCAUUCCUGGCCCAUUUUUGAGCCGGAUUUGCGUCAGCGCGGACGCACGCGCGCUCGCCCUCUCUCCUUCCCGGGCCCAUUGGUCGGUGGCACAUUGGCCUCUCCACAUCCAACAGCACACCGUCGCCGCCUGCUUCGUCGCCAACGCCGCCAGCCAUUUUUUCCGAUAGAACAAGAAUACAUAGAUAGUUCUAGCGUACACAGAUAAAAGAAAAGACUAACUACUCGGCGUCGCUUUCCGACUCUGACUCGGUAAUGUCCUCCUCCGACGUAUGAAUGUAGGCGUCAGCAUACAACUCGUCCUCGAAGUACGACCCCGAUGUUUCGGGUAGCUUCAGUUUCAAUUGAGCGGCUUGCUUCCGCGCACGCUUGUCCUCCCGAUAGGCGGCUCGCUCCGUCCUCCUCGCCUCCCUCUCCGUCCUCCUUUGCUUGUAGAACUGGCGCUCGUCGACGAUGUCCUGCGGGAAGCGGUCGCGCCACACCACCAUGGCUUCCGCGUCCAUCUCGGCGAUGGCGAGGCGACACUGCUGCCUCCGGUGGACAUAACGAUCCUUAUCGGUGAAAAGCCGCAGGAGAGACGCUAGAUCCUGCGCCCGCUGGCUCGACACGUCAGGAAAAUUCAUCUCCCCACGAGGCCUCAGGAGGCGCUAGGCCGCCACGUCGUGCGCGCGGGCCGCCUCCUCUGCGGUGUCGAAGGUGCCGAAGAUAAGGCGUUUAUCGCCAAAACAGAUCUCGGAGGAGAAGGCAUCGGAGCGGCGCUCACGGACUCCGCGAAAAUCUGAUGCGCCCAGGCGGCGAAUAAACAUCGUGGCGCAGAGGCGGCGAGGCUAGUGAGGCGACGAGUGGGCGACGGACAAAGUGUGGAGGGAGCGCCUUCUUAUAACGAGUGCCGGCCGCGGCACGCGCGAACCUUUCCCGCGCGCUGGAGCGCCAAAACCAGCGCGCGCUAGCCCGAUUUUCGUCCGCGCGCGCGAACCUUUCCCGCGCGCUGGAGCGCCAAAACCAGGACGACGACAUGGCCGCUGGCAUGAUCUACAGCGCGUGCAUUCAUGGAAUGGGCCGGCGCAUUGGGUGCACUACCGACUCAAAUGAAAAAUUAGACGGACAACUGGUGGGCGGCCGACCCAAACGGACAAAAAACGGACAGAAGCGUCAUUCAUUUGGGUCGAUCCGUUGGAGUUGCUCUAAGUGUUCUUUUCUUCGUUGGACAAGUCCUGGCGGUAAGUGCUUUCUGACAACAGCGACGAUGAACUAUGACGACAAUGAUGAACGAAGCAGACUAGUGUGAUCCUGGCAAAAUACCUUUUACACCGAGUGGCACAGCGGUACAAAGCUAACUUCCGAUCCCUAAUCGAUCGUUUCCUGGACGUGAACUAGUACUGUUAUGCACUAGUACUUCUAGCCGGACAGGGACACGCAACAAUAGUCAUAGUUGUUGAAAUUUGCCUGUCUUUCUUCAUCUGUUCAGACUUUUAAAUGAGUUAGAUGGUGUAUGAAUUCAAUACGGCAUCCGAUUUAAGAGGUUUAAAGUUCAAAACCGUGCCUAUGCAGUAAUUAAAAAAGAAAUUUUCUACCUACAUAAAUCCCACGUCGGAAGACUAAAUAAGUCUAGACGUGGUGGGUGGGGGGGGAGGGGGGGUUAAAUAUAUUGGCAGUCUUUCUCCAUCAGUCAGACUAUUGGAUGAGUUGGUUGGUGUACUGGACUGAAUUUAAAGUCUUCUGCUUUCCUUAUCUUCUUCGUUGCACCAUCAGUAACUGUGUCUCUGAUGGGUCAGCAUCUAGGGCGGUGUCUGUGUCCCCUUAUGAUGACUUCCUUGUCUCUCCUCUAUUAUAGGAACAUGUCAUUCAUGUUUUUCUUUCUAUUGCUACUAUUUUUUGCGGGUAUUGUUCAUUGCUUCGACUCACGGUACAAACUUUACAGCAGUGCUUACAUGUAUAUAUAGCUGCUAGUCUCUAGGAAAUACUCCCUCCAUUCCCAAAACUUGUCUUUCUAGGCAUUUUCAAAUGGACACAACGUACGGAUGCAUGUAGACAUAUUUUAUAUUAUAGAUUAACUCAUUUUGCUCCGUAUGUAGUUAUUUGUUGAAAUCUCUAGAAAGACAAAUAUUUGGGAACGAAGGGAAUAUCAAACUAAAUUGGUCCCUGCAAAAAAAAAAUCAUACUAAAUCAGUGACUAGUACUAAUCCUACUCGGCUACAUGUAAGUUGUGUUUAACUGCAGCAUCACCCUGUAAGCACGACGUGGUCACUUCACAGCUUGAACCACAAUUCUACUUCACGUCUUCAAGAACUACUCACAAUACAAAAGCAUUGCUUAGGAUGUCCGAUAGCUGAUUAUCGGUGCAAAUAUAGUAGACAUUAAUCUUACCGUCUUCCGUGCAUUCCGUUAUGCAGUGAUCAUUUGUGGAGUACCUGUCCACCGGCGGCCGGGGUCCGUGGAAACUUGCCGUCGGGCACUCAGCGCGACAGAUCUGCCACCAUGGACCUCUCAGCCACAAACUGGUCAAGUUCCACAACAGGGACAGCCGACAAGACCACUUCCUUGUGAGAGCGUUCGCCGCCCCUGGCUUUUUCUUCCUGUCGCCGGCGCCGAUGGUCCUUUCAUUCUAUGCUCCGCCGCGGCAGUGGACUAGUGUAUCAACGAAGGAAGGAAUAUGGUUACUACCCGUGGCUGCUGUACUGUUGUGAAGAAUCUACAAAAAUAGUUCACUACAGUUAGUCUUUUGUGCCGAUCGCUGCGCUUGGUCUUUUUAAUUAGUUCACAUAACUUUCAUUUUAUGUAUCAAAUAGUUAACUUUUGGGCUGCAGUUAUUCUCUACACCAAUGGUGUAACGGGUCAUCUAAUAUAUGAGUUAAGGAAGGGUUAUGGCUACUACCCACGCAAGGGGGCCCGAACUGUAGUAAACUUGUGCCCCGUGUUCGUUCAAUGGCAUGUGGUGACUCUCCACUACCGAAUAAAUCACAUGCGACUAUUGUACUAUUGUGAAGAAUCUACAAAAAUAUCCUCAACAACAUUCUCCCGUGUCGUCGCGGCCAUGCCCACUUUCUCUUGGGUAGACAUAUUUGUGAUGGUUGGUCGAUGUUAUCAUAUUUUUGGGAACAUUUUCAUCUCUUGAGCUCUAGCACACUUAUACACCUAACUAAUGUGCCCUAUUGCAGAUCACCCAAAGGCCGAAAGAUACGCAAUUAUGCACGCAUGAUUGAAAGAGUGACUAAGCUUAUGGCAAUUGGUCACAUACGAUCUGCUGAGAUACAUCCCACAAAUCAAGCAUGAAAAAGAAAAAGAAAAGGUUGUAAAUCAUCGAUAUUUUUCCUUCUUUUAUCUCCCUACCAUUGUUCUAUUCUUAAAGGCCCUGAUGGGAUUGCGAGUAGUAUCUCUGAUGGGACCUUGUUUCUUUGUUCCCGGUACUAAUGUUAAUAGUUUAUUGAUAUUUAUACAUAAAGCAGAAGAACCUAGCUAGCUAGCUUACUACUUUAGCCUUUCUUUAUGUAUCUUAGUCUAAUCAUGGAACUUGUGCCUCAAUUCUAUAUUUAGAGACAUAUUAGCAAAGAGAUGCUCUACGCUUUGGAUGUCACUCACGGUUAGUAUAUGUUCAACGAAAUAUUUAUAUGUUAUUUCCCAGUAUUGAUCAAAAUAAACACAUGGACCAAGAAAACAGUGGCCUGCAGAAAACGGUAUAACUGCUUUCUAGAAAACUGAGUAUUUGGUUACUUGCUAUAUUUUUUGUACAUCAAACAUUUUUACUUGCUUUAGUUAGUUGUCAACAAAUUACAUAGCACGGAUUUGUUUUCACAACCUCUUAAAAUACAUAGAACAUCUUAGUUCGGCAAUCCUGCCUAAUCGGGUAAAUAAGCAGGAAAAUAUCUAUUACGUUUUCCGUACAGGAGCCAGUCCAUCCCUGUCUAGAAUGUGAUUCUGAAAGUUGUAUUCUUUGUUGGAAGCCUGUGAGAGUUUUUCCUUAGCUCUAAAAGGUUAGCCCAAUGUCAGAUUUUUAUUAUUUAGACAUCAUGAUGGUAUAGGAUGAUAAAGAGAAAUAAAGUGGACGUGAAAUUUCUUUGUAUGAUAUUGGCGUGAAUUUAGUGCAUAUUAUAUAGCAAUUCAACAACGGUGAUUUUGACCAUUGGAUCUUCAUCUAAUUAACGGAUGUAUUCAUGUUUUCUUUUAAUAGAUUUUGAGCUGCCAAUUAAACUGCAGAAAUCAUGCAUCAACCAUCCCAUCGAUGUUAGAACUAUUAGUUAUCUUAUUAUCAGGAUUCGGCCAAUAUGUUUGUCACACACACAUAAGCGACAAGGGUAUGUAUCAAGCUUUGUUGGUUUAUCACGUACGCCACAAGCGUGCCACUAGGAACAAGUGCACAUGUUCUUUUAUAGGAUUUACAGACCAACGCGUGUUUAAUCGUGUAAUGCAUAUAUAGGGUUAGGGUUCGAGACGAGGUGUUUGUGAAGACAUUCACUCGUUCCUGGGAUUUGGAAUGUCGAGAAAACCGACAGCCCCUUGUGCUUCCAGAUGGUGCAGGGAAUAAAACUGGAGCAGCAGAGGCAGAUUUAAAUGUAUUUAUUUCCAUCAUCCAUGGUUCUACAUGUAAAUAUCAAUUUUUCCCACAGAAAAGUGUAAAUGUAUACAUAUGAAUUGAUUUCCAUGGCGAAUGUACAUGUACCAAAAUUCUAGCUAGCUUCCCCUAGAAAAACAUUUUAGCAAGGUAGUCAGAAGCUUCCUUAAGAAAGAACAGAAAAGAAAAGAAAAGAAAAGAAAUGGUACGUGAUUCGUGCCCUUUGUUUGUUGAAGGAAGUAGUUUAUAGUAGUAUAACAGUGCAUGCAUGGCUACCGCUUGGUCCGUCCAUGCGUACGUAGUUUUCCUAUAUAUAGAGAGAGAUUAGAGAGCGGAGGACCAACACAAGUCAUAAGCGGCCAUCGAUCUAUCCCAGGCCACACGUAGUAGCACAACAAUCAUGACGAUUUCCGCUAUGCCGCUGCUAUUGCUUCUUCUUGUCAGCUUGUCUGUAGGUUCUUGUGUGGGUGACCAUCAUCAGCUCCUCAACUUCAUGACAGUGAAAACAAGCUCCCUAAAGCAUAUCGCAGAAGGCGCCGUCUGCUCCGGACACAAGGGUGAGUAUCUAAGGGUACUGCAUGCAUGCAUAUGCAUACGUUAUUUAGUACAUACUCGCUCCGUUCGGAAUUACUUGUCGCAGAAAUAGAUGUAUUCGAAAUAUGUCUAGAUACAUCCAUUCCUGCGAUAAGUAAUUCCCGAUACAUCCAUUCCUGCGACAAGUAAUUCCGAACGGAGGAAGUACGUCAUAUAGUAGCUAGCUUAAUAUUGAGCUCAUUGAUGGAUAUGCAUGCGUGUUAACCUGUCGCCUUCGUCUGUCGACAAACAGUGACAAUGCCGUCCGGCGACGGUGUCAGGUGGGUACCGAUGAACCGCCCGCACGGCCCAUGCUCGUCGGCGGCGGCGACUACGGUCGUCGACGGCAUGCUCCUGUGGGACCAGCUACGCACCAGCUCAAUCCGGAGGAAGCUCUCCGGCGGCAGGGCCGGCGAUGGCCUGCCGGUCAUCCACUCCCGUGAAGCCAAAACUAGCAACAUCGACAGCAGUAUGACUGCGAAAAGCACGCUGGGGGGCAGCGGCGGGACAAGCUCCACGACAAUGGAAAGGACCAGCGAACACUUGUACUCCAAGGUGAGCCAAACGGUGGUGGUGGACACGAGCAGCGACAUUCCGUGGGUGCAGUGCCUCCCGUGCCCCGCCCCGCAGUGUCACCUCCAGAAGGACCAACUCUACGACCCCGCCAACUCCAGCACGUACGCACCUAUCCCCUGCGGCUCCCCUGCCUGCACGGAGCUCGGUAGCAGCCACAGCAGUGGCUGCUCCGCCGGCUCCGACCAAUGCAAGUACAUCCUCGACUACGGCGACGGCAGGGCCACCGCCGGGACAUACGUCACCGACACGCUGACCUUGUCGCCCACCAUCGCGGUCAAGGGCUUCCGGUUCGGGUGCAGCCACGCCGUGAGGGGCACCUUCAGUGACCAGACCGCCGGCGUCCUGGCCCUCGGCGGCGGCGCUGGGUCCCUCCUUGCGCAGACCGCGGAGACCUUCGGCAACGCCUUCUCCUACUGCGUCCCGCACCCGAGCUCCGAUGGAUUCCUCUCGCUGGGCGGGCCGGUGGGGAACUCGUCGCAGUUCACGAGCACGCCUCUNNNNNNNNNNCUCUGAUCAAGAACCAACACGCUCCGACGUUCUACAUCGUCCGCCUGGAGGCAAUCACCGUGGCCGGGAGGCGGCUCGACGUGCCGCCGGCUACGUUCGCCGGUGGUGCGGUGAUGGACUCAGGGGCGGUCGUCACGCAGCUGCCACCGUCGGCAUACGCAGCGCUGCGGGCAGCGUUCAGGAGCGCCAUGACGGCGUAUGGCCCGCUUGCGGAUCCCGUACGCAACCUUGACACGUGCUAUGACUUGACCCGCUUCCCCGAGGUCAAUGUCCCCAAGGUGUCCCUAGUGUUCGCAGGCGGUGCCACCUUGGAGCUCGAGCCGGCGUCCAUCAUGCUGGACGGCUGCCUGGCUUUCACGGCCUCCCCUGGCGGCCACGGCUCCAUCGGAUUCAUCGGCAACGUGCAGCAGCAGACCUACGAGGUUUUGUACGACGUCGGCAGCGGGAGCGUGGGAUUCCGCAGUGGCGCGUGCUGAUGUGGCAAGCUGCAGGCCAACCACGGCCACUUGUACGUGUGAUGCAUGAUUGGCCCCCUAAUAUAUAUCUGGGUCUACAAGCUAGCUUGCUCAUUGGGAUGGAGCUAGUUUGUGAGUAUAAAUAAAUGCAAGAAAGAAGAUUGAUGUAAUACUUAUAUAUGCAUGUAAUUUUAUAUAGUUUUAUAUAUGCAUGUAAUUUUGUUCAACGGUUGUAUGAUUGUAAACCUUAUAAUAUAACCUUACAGAUUGUCAAGGAAUUCAACCGAUAUAAUUACUCUACUUAUUGAUGUGCAAUAAUGUAAUAUGACUAUUAAGAAGCAUUCUGAUUGUGGAGGUGGUUUCGCACUUUUUACUACAACAAAGGUGUUUGAAGGAUUCCUCGGCAGAAACUAGAACGCACUCCUUCAAUAAUUGACGAGCUAAUUGGUUGUUGAACUUCAGACAAAGAUUGUUGGGCAUGAAAGCGGUCACCAGCGGGUUGAUUGGCCUCACCAGCUCAUACGUGUUCAUGAGGCGUGGUUUUUUUCUUUUCUUGAUUAAUAGUAUUUGUUUCUGGAUGCUUGCAUUGUUAGAUUUGGAAGCGUUCCUACUCCUCGAUGAGGAGCCGGGUUGGUUUAUAUUGAACGAGGCAGAACAGCCCUGCCGUGGCUUACAAGAAGAGGAAACUGAUCGCAAGGAUUGGGUUGUAAGGAGGACUCCUAAACAGCUACGCGAGGGAGAGAGAUAGAAUAGAGUUGAGAUUACAAUGCGGAGAUAAACAUGAAUUCUAACACCCUCCCUUAAUCUCAACUAUUCUAUGUUUAGAUUCCUCUUGAACUCAUCAAAUGGUUUUGCUGGUAGUGCCUUGGUGAACCCAUCAGCCACUUGAUCUUUGGAAGGGAUGAACCGUAUCUCAAGUUUCUUUGCUGCAACCCUUUCAGGCACAAAGUGAAAAUCAAUCUCUAUAUGCUUGGUUCUUGCAUGAAACACUGGGUUUGCAGACAAGUAUGUUGGUCCCAAAUUAUCACACCAUAAACAUGAGAUGCGAUUCUGCUUGACCCCCAUUUCAUCCAGUAGUGAUUCAAUCCAAAUGAUUUCUGCAGUGGCAUUAGCUAAGGAUUUAUACUCAGCCUCUGUAUUUGAACUUGAUACAGUGGCUUGUUUCCUACCACUUUAAGAAACAAGAUUAGGCCCAAAGAACACUGCAAAGCCUCCGGUUGAUUUUCUAUCAUCACUGCAACCUGCCCAAUCAGCAUCAGAGAAUGCACUCACAAGAGUAGAAUUAGAGCGUCUAAAAUGCAGUCCUACUCCCAUAGUAUGUUUGACAUAUCUUACAGUUCUCUUAAUAGCUGUCCAAUGUGCAGUAGUGGGUGCAUGCAGAUAUUGACAAACUUUGUUAACAGCAAAUGAGAUAUCUGGGCGAGUAAGAGUCAAGUACUGUAAUGCUCCAAUAGUACUUCUAUACUUUGUGCUAUCUUCCUCAUAAAGUGGCUCACCUUCAUAUGCUGAAAGUUUCUCCGAGGAGGACAAUGUGUAGGUACAGGUUUGCAGUUUUUCAUCCCCAUACGAGAUAGAAGCUUGGUAACAUAUUUCUCUUGUUUUAGUACCAUGCCAUCUUGAGUCAUCUUAACUUCAAUGCCUAGAAAGAAGUGCAAAUGUAACAUCCCAAAAUUCUAAAUUUUGGAAUGUUAUAUUAAAUAAUUAAUUAUGAUUGUUUGUUUGUUGUGUGAUUGAUUGUGUGAAAAUGAUUGGAAAUUGAAAACUUUUUGAAAGUUGAAUGAGAGGGAAUAAAAGGACUUUCUCGAAACUUUUCAUCUUGCAUUUUGAUCUUCCUGAAUUCAAAUUCAUUUCAUCACAAAACCCUAGAGUGAAGAUAAUAUGACUUCUUCCAUUUAAAGAAAUUAAAAAAGGGGUUUGAAAAUGAUUUGAAUUCCAUUUGAAACAUUUCGAAUUUAGAAACUUUAAGAGCAUCUCCAGCCGUUCGCCCCCCAGGACGCAUAAAAAUCGCCCCCAGGGGGCGAGCCGGCGAUACAAUCGGCGCUGGGAGCGGUUUCGCGCCCAGUCGUCGCCCCCAGCUCGCCCCAGGCGUCGAUAUUGGCCCACUUAUCCCAUUUCGGCGAAUAAAGGGCCCAUAUGGGCGACAAUAGGCCCAUAUUCGGCGUGGUUUGCCGUUGUUCGGCGUUCAAUUAUGCACAUAAAUUUUUUUAUCACAUAUUUCAUCACAGAAAUAUCAAAUACUUCAACAAAAUAGUACAACAACAAAUAGUUCAAUACAAUUUAUAUAGUUGAAGAAAUAAAAACUCAUAUUCCAUCACACGUCGCGCCCGACGUCGCCCUUGAGCCUCCAUAGAUGCUCUAUCAGAUCUUGCUGCACUUGAUGAUGCACCUGUGGGUCUCGGAUCUCCUGACGCAUACUGAGAUAGGCAGUCCAGGUUGCCGGUAGCUGGUGAUCAACUUCGGCUAGAGGACCCUGCCUGUAGUAUGGUUCAGUGUCAAACACUGGGUCUUCUUGCUCGCUCUCGAUGAUCAUGUUGUGCAAGAUGACACAACAAGUCAUAAUCUCCCACAUUUGAUCUUUCGACCAGGUCUGAGCAGGGUACCGGACAACAGCAAAUCGAGAUUGGAGCACACCAAAUGCCCUCUCGACAUCCUUCCUGCAAGCCUCCUGAACCUUCGCAAACCGGGCGUUCUUGCCUCCUGGCACAGGGUUUGAGAUUGUCUUCACAAAUGUCGACCAUCUCGGAUAGAUGCCAUCAGCUAGAUAGUACCUCUUAUUGUAGUGCCGCCCAUUGAUCUCGAAGUUCACCGGAGGAGAAUGACCUUCAACAAGCUUGGCAAAGAUAGGAGAGCACUGCAGCACGUUGAUGUCAUUGUGAGUUCCUAGCAUACCAAAGAAGGAGUGCCAAAUCCAGAGGUCCUGUGUGGCCACCGCCUCAAGUACCACACUGCAACCGUCUUUGGCGCCUUUGUACAUCCCCUGCCAAGCAAAUGGGCAAUUCUUCCAUUUCCAAUGCAUGCAGUCGACUCUUCCAAGCAUCCCAGGAAAUCCUCUUGCUGCAUUCUGUGCUAGGAUCCGAGAAGUGUCUUCCGCAUUGGGUGUUCUCAAGUAUUGCGGUCCAAACAUGGCCACCACUGUCCGAAAGAACUUGUAGAAACACUCUAUGCUGGUGGACUCAGCCAUGCGCCCAUAGUUGUCGAGUGAAUCACCGGGAGCUCCGUAUGCAAGCAUCCUCAUCGCUGUCGUGCACUUCUGAAUGGAGGUGAAUCCAAGGGCGCCGGUGCAAUCCAUCUUGCACUUGAAGUAUUUGUCGAACUACCGGAUGGAAUUCACAAUCUCGAGAAGAGCUUCCGGCUCAUCCGAUAACGGCGCCGAAAUGUUUUCUCGCCGUGAAGUGGAGCAUCGGCGAAGUAGUCGGAGUAGAGCAUGCAGUAGACUUCAAGACGAUGCCGGUUCAUUGCUUUCACACGCCCGGCGCCGAGCCACCUCGCUGCGGCUUUUUAUUGCUCGCCAGCAGCUGGGCGAGGGCGGCGAGCAACAUGAGAUGCUCUUCUUCCUGGACGUCGGCCUCGGCUUCCUCCUCCAGCAGCGCGGCGAGCGCUUCCUCGUCAUCCGAGUCCAUCGCCGAGGCAGGCAAAUCGCCGAACACCUUGCGCCCGGUGGGCGUGUACCCGCCGCUAAACUGCCCCUCCGCGGCCGGAAACGCCCAGCUGCUGUUGGAGGGGCUGCCGCGGCGAAGCUCUGCUAUUUUUUCGGCAGGGAAUGGCUAUCUAGCGGUGAAGGGCGGCGGGCGGCGCCUGGAUAUAGCUAGUGGCGGCCGAGGGCGCGGGGGUGGGAGGCGAGUCGGGGAAGAAAACCUUGACUUUUCCCCUGCCGGUGUGGGCCAGCCGCGCUUUUCCCUUGCGCCGGAGCUCCCAAUUGCCCCCAGUGCGCCGGGUUCGGCCUGUGACCGUCGAGCGGAAAAAAGGGCCGAACCGGCGAUUUUCGGCGUCCUGGGGGCGCGAGUGGGGAAUUUUUUUGGCACCGGCGGCGAAAAAGUGGCCUGGGGGGCCUGUUGGGGGCGCGGCCGGAGAUGCUCUAAGAAAUUCAAUGAGUUCAUGAGGGAAGAUAAAAUGACUUCUACAAAUCAAAGGAAGAGAGUUGGAAGUUUCAAAGGAAUAAUUCGAAGACACUUUGAAGUUAUUUGAAACUCAUUUUUCCAUUUGAAGUUGUUUGAAAUUCCAAAUUUCAAAUCCUCUUGGGAGUUAUUUAGUUUUAAUUCAAAUUAUUUUUCUCCUAAAAAUAAAUAGAUGGAAAUAAGGGUAAAAUGAUUCCCUUCAAUAGAAAAUUAGGAGAAAAUAUAUUUGAAAUCAUUUUGCUAUUUUAAAAACGAUUUUUAUUGAUUUUAAAUGUAAUAGUAGCACUGUUUGACUUUUAUGAAUUUUUAUAGAAUUUAGUUGAACUUGAAAAAUAAUUCAUCUUAUUGCUGCUAUUUUUCUGAGCAUUUUGGUAUAUAAUAUUCCUACGUAAUUUUUUAGUUAUUUUCCUAUGUUGAAGUUUUUGUUUCUGCAAAAAAAAACACGCGCCCGCCAGCCGGCCCAGGGUCUUCGGCCCAAGAGCCAGCCAGCACACCAAGCCGGCCCAGCAGCUCCCCAGGCCGCCCGAGGCCUUAUGCCUCGCUCGCCCACGCCCCUCUUCCCUCGCUCACUCUCUCCCACCGCCGCUGCCAGUGGGGCCCGCAACCCUUCGUCCCUAACCUACCGCUCCUCCCGUUGAGAUAGAGCACGCGUGUGCCGCCCGCAACUGCCGGCUGCUCCGCUUGGGAUAGAGCUCAUCCCCAGUGUCCGCAGCCUCUUCUCGCGCCUAUAAAUUCCCCCGACUCCCCUCGUUCGAUUUUGCCACUCCGCAACGACCCACGCCACUCAUAGCCGCCGCCUUCGUCGUUUGGAUCUCGCCCGCCGGAGCUACCUGGCCGGUCUGUUCCCCCGUCCGUAAGACUGCCUCGACCCGUUCUUCUUUGUCAAUUGACUCCCCGCGUCGAGGCGCAUCUGAUUGACAAAAAUUUGCCGCCUUGGUCGUACCAGAGACGACGCGCCGCGCUCUCGCCGGAGCACCGGAGCUCCGCCGCCUCCCUCCGCUCGUCGCUGGCCACCCCACCGCCGGCCAACCCCACCAGCAUGCCGCCCACGCCGCGCCCGACCUCCCCGACCCCUUCGUCGCCGCUGCCCGCUGAGGACCCCCGGAGACGCCGCCGUGUCCGCCGUCCGCCGCCUGACGCCAGUGCCGCCGCCCCUGUUCGCCGUCCUCGCUCGCUGUGAGCCGCUGACCCUUAGUCAUUUUUGUUGUUGUUGUAUUAGAUCGGGUAACCGUGGUUUUAUUAAACCGUACAGUUUAGUAAAAAACCGGUCUCCGGUUUUCUUUUUAUUUAGCCGCGGUAGCCGUUUUAUUUAUUCAGUGGCCGUCCGCCAUUUAGCCUGAGCCGCGAACGCUUCUCAGCAACCCGGAAGCCGCCACGUGGCCAGGGACCUGGUCACGAAUAAAACUUUCACAAUUAAGUCCCUGAGAUUUCAUUUUAGCCCCUAAACUUCGAAUGGUUGUAUCUUUUUAACCGUAACUGCAAAUUCGACGAAACCAGCGGAAAAAUGUUCGUGUCGAAUAGUUUUAUCCAGAGAACCAACUUUGAAAACUUUUGGACAAAUUCAAAUUUGAACUUUAUUCAGAUUUGAAUUCAAACUUCAACUGGCCAUAUCUGUUAAACCGUAGCUCCGAUUGGUGUGAUUCUUUUUGCAACGUGUCAUCGUAGCCAAACCCUACCACCUAGACCUUGUCACAAUCUGUCUAUGAUAGUUUUACUAUUAUGCCAUGUAUGGACUUUAGUACACAUCACAGUUUUGAACCCCAUGUCACAUGUUGUUUUGCACUUAGGAUAUUUCCAUGCUAGUUAACUGUGUUGAAUAUUCAUUUGGUUUUUCUGACACUUUGUGCUUUGCAUGUUCUUCUUGGUUCUCUGAAACGAUUGCUUAUGUGAGUGCAAUGUUUGACUUUAUAGAUUGUCAUCAGAGAGUGAAGAAUAGUUCUAUUAAGUAAAUUUCUGAGAGCGAUAUAAUCUUCAUCAACUAUUACCAGGCAAGUUCACAUUUGACCAUUUUUCCAAUUACCUAUGUUUAUAUUAUGCACUUAGUCCUUUUGUGGUAGUAUUGCAUGGUAGGUCUGAUCUAUACAUCCUUGUCACCACCGUGUAAGUUUAUUUUUGCCUCGCUAAAUGUAGACAUGGUUUGGGAAGCGAACAUGGCGAGACAUGAGUGACAAAGUAGUAAUCAGGACCAAGACUUGUAAAUGAACUACCUGGGCGGUAUUUGGUUUGAAUGGUGGCGAAGUACAGUGGGAGCAUGCAUGGUUAAUCCAUGGUGGUGCACCACUAGUGGUUGGCCGCUUAUGCUCAAAGAGAUCAAUCGUAUUCUCAUGUCUAGAAGCUUAAGUGUGCAGCCACAAGCCAAUAUGGGCUCUGGCUUAGUUGAGUAGUUAGUGUGACCCCUUCCGGGAUGGGCUAGCAGAUGUAGAAUGAUGUAGGUGUACCGGCCUAUCCAUGGGUUAAGGGGUGACAUUUUUGAAAGACUAUGUCUCGGUCAUCCUGUUCUCAAACGCCAGGCAGUGCGAGAACUCCAGGGGAGGCGAUCGAGUCUUGUGGGGAAAAGUGCGCAAACCUCUGUAGAGUGUUUUUUUUGAACUUGAUAGUGGGAGAGAACUCCCACUGUAUAUUUUCACAUAUCUAUGUAAAUGGGGUGUUUACAUAGACAUACCACUCACACACAUCCAGCUCCACUCUUGGUGGAACCACCAGGGGUGGGGAAACUACACCAUGGUCACUACUAUACACUUGUCUCUAAGUAUUUAAAGAGGGAAGAAUAAAACACAGUAUGUCUCAGCUAAGUGUGCCACAGUAUGAAAGCAGGGCAGCUCUACGUGUACCCUGAACUCUAUGUUGCAGAAGUCCCAAGUCCUCUUUGAAUCGUUGGAACCAAGAUGCAAUGCUUGGGGUUACACCUAUGAAGUGUUUAUUGUUUCUUUCCUUCCACAAACUCUAGGUAGCAGUGAAAAAUGCUUCAAUGAAGAAAGGAUUGGGCCAGUUGGGUUGUGCGUUUUGCAACGCAUCAAACCUAUUUUGAAAAUCAAUCCAGUGAACACCUAUCUUGGCCCAACACCUUUCGCUGAACUGGCAGGUGAAGAUCAUAUGCUCGAGAGUCUCAUCUGUAUUUUGCCCACAAAGGAGACAUGUGAAGUCAUUCCCAAUGUCAUAGUGUCUUCUUCUCAGCAUGUCACAUGUGUUCAACCUGUCGUGCAGCAGCAACCAUCCAAAUACUUUGAUUUUCAUUGUACAGUUUGAUUUCCAAAGGAGCGGGAAGCUGGGAUGAGCUGUUGCAUCACGGGAGAAGUUGUUAUAGUAGUCUUUUGGCUUGUACUCAGCUGUCCCCCAAGCAUAGAGCCAAACAUCAGAUAUUGUUGUGGAUGGGUGUAUGCGGAAUGCUGCAUGUUGGACAUCUUGCACCUCGUUGAGCGCACGAGCAGACAGCGGUAGGUGAAUGGUUUCAUGCAGUUCAGUGUUGGCCCAGAAGUCAGCGACCGUCAUGUCUUCCUGCAGAGCAAAUGAAAAGGCACGUGGGUGCGAUGUUUGUAGCACAUCAUUUGACCACAAGUCUUUCCAGAGCAGCGUAGUCGAGCCAUCAACUACUUGGACACGAGUGAUCCCUCGGUAGAUGGGCGUUAAUUUGAGAAUGUCUUUCCACCAGAAAGAACCGACUAGAUCAACCGCAUGAGGCACCUGGUUAGCAUACUGAUUAUCCCAAAGCAUAGUAACCCAUGGUACGUCCAGUUUGUUAUAGAACUUGUGGAGAAAUUUCAGCAGGAGGGCUUCGUUGUGGAUUUUAAUGUUGAUCACUCCUAACCCACCUUUACACUUGGGCUUGCACACUAGUUCCCAAGCUGCAAGCGAAUUACAUUUGUCACCUUGGUCGGUUUUCUUUGUCCAGAGACAUCUCCUUCUAAUCUUGUCAAGAAUUUCAAUUAGAUUCGGAGGGAACUUGAGCGUGCACAUGGCAAACACCAGAAGGGAUGUGACCGAUGCAUUGAGCCAGGAGAGGCGGCCCCCAUAGGACAUCAUAGCGAUCGUGGCAGUGAGACGACGCUCCAUUUUGCAAACUAGAGGCCUGAAUUCUUGAAUGGUUGGUCUUGUAGUGCCAAGUGGCAGGCCAAGGUAGGUGAAAGGCAUUGUACCUACAGUGCAGCCGAAAACGGCAGCAAGGCUAGAGGUUGCACCUGCGUCCAGGUUGAUUGGUAUGAGCGUCGACUUGUGAAAGUUAAUUUUGAGGCCAAUAGAGGAUGCAUAGUCAGAGAGAGUGUUCUUGACACGGGCAGCCUGUUGUGGGCAAGCAGGCAAGACAAGGAGGGUGUCGUCCGCAUAUUGGAUCACUGGGUAAUCAUUUUUCCCAUUGCAUGGAAAAGGCAGGCUGAUAUCUCCACGUCGAUAAGCAUCAUUGACCGUGGCUUGAAGUAGUUCAGCUGCCAGGACGAAAAUGAGGGGGGACAGAGGAUCACCUUGCCGCACACCGCAUCGACAAAGGAACUGUCGGCCUGGGACCCCAUUAAGAAGGACGGACGAGCGACCCGAGGAGAAGAGGCACUUGAUCCAGGAGAUCCACUUGUCAUUGAAACCCAUCUGCUGCAUAAUGCAAAUCAUUGGUUCAUGCGCGAUGGUAUCAAAUGCUUUGGCGAAAUCAAGUUUAAGAAUAAUGAUUGGCCGGCCCGAGUUUUGACAUUGAUAAAGAUAUUGAUAAGCCCAUGCCAGACAAUCCUGUAUAGUACGCCCUUUAAUGAACCCAUACUGAUUCCGGUGAAUGAGGGUGAAAAUGGCAAGUUGAAGUCUGUCUGCUAGCAGUUUGGUAAUCAACUUGAGGCAGCAGUUGAGCAAUGUAAUGGGUCUGAAAUCAUUGACUGUUUCUGGAGAGUUGGUCUUAGGUAUAAGUGUGAUAAGACCAUCAUUGAUACUAGUGACAUCUAACGUACCUUCAUAGAACUGAUCACAUAGGGUGUAAAAGUCAUGUCGAAUGAUGGGCCAGCAGGCUUUCAAAAACGCCCCACUAAAGCCAUCUGGGCCAGGUGCGCGGUCCGGAGGCAUACCUUUGACCACAUUAUCGAUUUCCUCAUGUGAAAAAGGCGUGGUAAGUUGGUCAAGAUUUGUAACGUGGGGGAUAAUGUUUGGAAGAUCAAAUUUCAUGUCUGAAUGGGAGACCGUACCCAGGCGGUUUUUGUAAGUUUGAAACAAGAGGGCCUCUUUUGCAGGAUGAUUGUCAACCAAUGUGCCAUCCUCAAGCUUGAGUGAGGAGAUAUUGUUUUGUCGAUAACGUUCCGUGGCCACUGCUUGGAAAAAUUUGGAGUUUUCAUCGCCAAACUUGAUCCAACGAAUAGUACAACGCUUCUUCUAAUAAAGUUUUUGAUAUUUGAGCAGUCUCAGCAAGUGUGACUUUAGGAUACGUCUGAAGUUCAUUUCUGGGAUUGAAAGGAUUCGUUUAUUCUCCAGCUCGUCUAAGUCUGCCAGGACAUGGUUAUAGUUCGUGAUGGCCACUAAUAGACGAGAAAUAUUCUUACUCCAGAUUUUGAUAGCAUGUGGAAUAGCUUUGAAUUUUCGGCAAAGGAUUGUGGCAGCAUUUGCGUUCCUAACUGGCCAUUCCCAAACCUCUCUAACUAUGUCCAUAAACCCUGAGUGUAAGGUCCAGUAAGAUUCAAAACGAAAGAGCUUGGAUCGGGGGAUUUUGGUCUCUAUGGUGACAACGCAAGGGAUGUGAUCAGAAACGGGCUUGCCAAGGGGUUUAAUGAGCGUCUUAGGAUAUGCAUUAGUCCAAUGCAAGGAUGUGAAGAACCAGCCAAUCUAUUCAAGCAAAGGAUCUGUCUGCAUAUUGCUCCAAGUGUAGGUUCUACCUUUCACCGAAAACUCAAUAAGUUGCUGCUGACGAAUGAUGUCAUUGAACGUAAUCAUGUCGUGAAUGUUACCCCCAGGUUUAUUACGAUUGUCCGGAGCUCUCAUGUAGUUAAAGUUGCCCAAAAGUAACCAGUGUUGGUUAUGGGGUGUUUGAACAUCGUACAACCAUUGCGUGAAAACUUCCCUGUCUGUACCAGUGCAAGGCCCGUACACGUUAACUAACGUCCAACGUUGAGAGGAUUAUGUGCUAACGAACUCGAUGGCUAGCGCAAAUGGAUCAGACGAGAGUACUAAACCAGAGAAAACCGAGCUUUUCCAGAUUGUAAGUAACCCCCCAGAGGCGCCGCGCGAAGGGACAAAAGCAAAACGAUCAAAUUGUCUAGGACAGCAAGUUUUAAUAGAAGCAAAAGUAACCUCAGGCAUCUUAGUCUCCUGAAGACAAACGAUAGCAAAACCACUGGUAGAGAUAGCAUUAUUCAGAGCCAGUCGCUUCUUCUCAGAAUUGAGCCCACGAAUAUUCCAUGAGAGCACAUCCCAGCAGCUCAACGAUGUCAUAUAGAACUCCAAUAUUAAGCAGAGGUGUGAGAGAGAUCCUCUCCCUGGUCAUCACUGUCAAUCGAAGAGGCAGAAGAUUCAGGCACGGCAGCAGUUUCAGCAAGCAGGGCUUCUUCAGAAAGUUCAGUAGCAGGUAUAGCACAUCUGUUAACUCCAAUGGAUUGCAGAGUAACUAUAGGAGUUGGGGGCGGGACCUCACCAGCAGAAGUAGCAGCAGAUGCUGAUGUGCCAAUAGACGGGAUGACAUGGGGCUUAACUUUGGAAUUGUUCUUGCGACUGUCAGAGAGGGGAGGAACCUUGAACCCAUCGUACGUGUUGGAGCAGAGACUGCGGCGCAAUUCAGUUGUGGAGAUAGGGGCAACAGCCCUGGUCCUACGGGGGCGCGGGCCAGUGGUGGCCAUAGAAGCAGUUGCCUCUGAGAUCAUAGAAGGUUCUGAAGGUGGAAUGUGCACGACUUGUUCUGUGUCCAUUGGGGCGUCUUCAGUGUUGGGCGGCAUGGCGGGCUCAAUGGCGUUUUCCACACUAGCAUGUUCAGAUAGGUCCUCAAUGAUCACAGCGAAGGUAGCCAAAGCAGAAGUAGAGCUUGAUUGCUGGGAAAAGGUCAGACCAGUAGAAUCCUGUGUGAUCAAGACAGACAACUGAACCUGGUUUGUUCUCAGACCAAACCCCUCUCUCCAAGGUCCAAAAGUUGCAAGCAUUGGACUAACAGCUUGGAAGAUGAAUGUGUUAAGAUUCAGGCGUGGGAUUGGGUCAUUCAGCAGCCUGGAAAGGAUCUCAUCUCCUUGAGCAGAUAAACCAAAUCUGACACCUUGAUCAUUGAUCUCCAGUGUGAUGUUAAGAGAUUCAGAGCUUGCACUGUCAGACAGCUGUAUAGCUGGAUCAGCCGGGAUGAGAAUGUCAGACUGGGUCGAGCUUGAACUGUCAGACUGGGUGAUCGAAUCAUUCCAAGCUUGGAGAGCAUUAUCAAUGACAUUAUUUUCAGGGACUAACCCAUGUUGCACAGUCAGACCCUGCGCAACAAGCCAGGCUUGGUAGUUCACCAAAUGGGGCGGCAUUUGCGGGAGUGGAGGAGCAGCGGGCGCCUCCCAAGUGCCCCAGCCAGUGUUGUCAUCCACUUCUUGAGCCUCAUUGUUGCCAGCUGCAGGUGCACCAUUCUAAACGAGCCAAUUGUGAACUUGCUGCUAAUAUAACUGUUCUGCAGUGAGUUCAGGGCCAAACUGCGGAUGUGGUUUGCCAUCGGGGGGUGGCAUUUCCUCAGAUGCAGCAGGUACAUCAGGGAGGAGGCCAUUCCAGUCGUUGUUGCGACGGAUGGUCACUACUAGUGUCUAACUGUCACGCGCACCACCCAGCUGCCAUACCACAAAGCUCAUGGGGAUGAGGCGUAGACUAAGUGCUCUUACUUUCAGAAGGAUGAAUCUGCGGUCCUGACGCGGAUUAUACCAGGAAACUAAGGAACCAUAUCCACCCAAGGCCUUAGUGAUGUAAUAGUCCGUUUGGUAGUCAUACGGAAAGCCGAAGAACAUAAUGCAAAUCUCAGGCCCAAACGGUGCAGCUCUACGAUAAAGAGCCACAUUGUGUGAAACGAAGGUGAUCAACAAAUCUUCAUCUUCAAGCUCAAGCGGUGUGUUGACAGCAUUACCUCUCAUAAAGGAAUCCACAAAACCGAAAAUCCCAACACCAAGGGGGUGAUCACUGACCUCUGUAGUAAAAAGCUGUGAUUCUUGAAGCAGAGUUGUGAUUCGAUGGCGGACGGUGGCCCGGCGAUGCAGGGGCACAGACUCACUGGCUUCUGCAAUGGCCAGGAACUCAUGGCUGAGUGGAGCAAUCGGGCCAACGACCAUGCCGCUGCGCACAAGACUAUCGGCCGGCCCUGGCUCAGCGGCAAAACCUGGCAGGAGGAAAGGCACAGGGUUCAGUGGGUAGUUCGCCAUUGUGGUGGAAGGGAUCAGAGGGGAGGACGGUGGUGCGGAGAUGGGAUGCAACUGCAAUGGCGCAAGCUGCAGCAAAGCGUCAGACUAUGGCGAUGGGACUGGACGGGAUGUGGCCCAUUGGGUUCUCGAGGCGGAAGCUGAAGCGUGAAUGGGGGCGGUAGAAGGCAAAGUUGCCUUUGCAACCUCUGUAGAGUGUUGAAACCUAAUCGAUUAACCAUGUCCCCGGUUACGGACAACUUGAGCAUCUAGUAGUGGAAAUGAUGGGAGAUCUCAUCACUCUUAAUUAAACAGUUGGUUUUUAAAUGAAACAUUGGGAAUGGAUUGAGUUGGGUUUGCCAACUCAUCCUAUGCUAUACUGUAGUGAUAGACUAAUGUCUUUUAUUCUAGGGAAAAACUAGCUUUAUGCAAAAACUAAACUUAGAGCUUUCCACCAGCCAAAUUGCAUGUACAAAUAGGUUCAUUAUUCUUAUGAUGUGACUUGCCAGUACAUUCAAUGUACUGACCUAUAGGGCUACAACGUCUUAUGUUGCAGGAAUUUCUACGACGAGUAAGAAUUAUGUUGUAGGGUUAUGGUCUACACUUAACUUGCCGUUGGCGUUGAUGGGACUCCACACUCGUUCGAUUGUUUCCAUUGAGAUUUAUGAGGUAUAUAUCAGUUUUACGUUAUUUAUACAUUUGAUUGAACUUUGAUAUAUACAUUGAUGUACUGUGUGUGCCAGCAUACCGAUCCAGGGAUGGCCCGGAUACACAGAGGCUUGACAGUUUGAGCUCGGGUCGCUACAGAGAUGGUAUGAGAGCACAUGUUGACUGUAGGACGUGACCCUAGAAACUGGAAAGCCCUUAGGAAAAGAUUUCUCUAAAAGUUUAUUUUCAAAAAGAUCCUUUACCUCUCUUCUUUUCUGAGCUUUAUCAAAUCUUCCCUUUUACCCCAAAUAGGUAGGCAAUAUCCCUUUUCCCUUUCACCACGAGGAGGAUCAACUGAUGAGACCACUCCGAGAAGGGCAAGAUAUCGGCCAACUGAUGGCCACUUCAAAGUAAAGAGGAUUUCAUCAUGCAUUAGAAUAGUUAAUGCUACGACAGUCGAAGACUCGAAGAAUUUGAAGACACUGAAGAAUUCCAAGAUUUAUAUGACCUUUAGAAGACCAAACCCUUGUUGUGUACUCACGUUAGAUGCGAUGAUUUGUGAGAUGUCAUAUUUGGUGUGUGUUUUCCGAUGCAACAAAUAAAAUUUAUUUUCAAAACUAUAUUGUUUGUAUUGUGUGUAUCUCUAUCUAUCCCUCUUAUCUCAUCCCAAAACCCUUGGACCCAAUAGAUGAUGAAUGAAGAUGGACUUGUAUUCUCUGGACCGAUCACUCAGUUAGAGGCAGAGCUAUGGAUUCAAAACAUGGAGAGUCACUUCGAGAGCAAUUUGGUUGCAAGGAAGUAUGAGGUUCAAUAUGCUCUUCAAUACUUUACAAAAAGUGCUACAACAUGGUGGAAAAUGCAUCAAGCCAUACAAGGAUGUAAUGGAGCAAAAACUUGGGAGGAAUUGAAGAAGACUCUAUUGGGAUCCCGUCUUAUCCGGAAGCACGGUGAUAAUCCGAUGAAGAAACCUUGUGCCUGCAAGAUAUGUGGAGAAAUAGGACACACCCAUGAAGAACACAAGGAUGGAUGCCCUCAUUAUGAAGGAAAUCACCCAGCGGAAGAGUGCCCAACUAGGCAGGUUACUUGUUACUUGUGUGAAGGAACUACGCACUACCCUGCCCAGUGUCAUAUUUACCCCAGGGUACAAGAAAUUACCAAGAACCAGAAGGAAGAAGUGAAAGAAGCCCUCAGGGAAAGUUUAAGAAAACUGGUGAUGAAAGAAGAUGUUGACGACCCUGAUGGAGAAAGCCUAAACAGAUUUUACUCCAAUGCUUGCUAUGCAUGUGGAGAAGAAGGACAUUUCUCACAAUAUUGCGUGAAGGAAAACCAAGAGUAUCUGGGAGACUUCCCGAUAGAAGAAGUGGGGUUUGAUAGACAAGAGAUAGAAGAAUUGAUCGGAACGAAGAAGUCGAGGAAGAGAAAGAGCAUGUAUCCCCAGAACAACCCAGUUUCUGCAGAAAAGGACCUGAGUCAUAUCACUUGUUACAGGUGCAAGGAUUUAGGUCAUUAUUCUAGCAAAUGCCCACCAAGGAAGCCAAGAACCCAAGGAGACAAGAUAACCACCAGGAACCCCUGGAUUUGUCUGACGCCAUUUGUCUACGCUGCAAAGGAGUAGGACAUUUUGUUAGAGAAUGUUCAGACCCGAGGAAAGCUAGAGCAGAGUAGUUGAGAUCUUGAUAUUGGAAUAAAGCAUGUAAUAAAUGUGGAACGCACUUUUAUUUUCGUGGGGGGUGUUGAUACGUCUCCAACGUAUCUAUAAUUUUUGAUUGCUCCAUGCUAUAUUAUCUACUGUUUUGGACUAUAUUGGGCUUUAUUUUCCACUUUUAUAUUAUUUUUGGGACUAACCUAUUAACCGGAGGCCCAGCCCAGAAUUACUGUUUUUUGCCUAUUUCAGUGUUUCGGAUAAACGGAAUAUCAAACGGAGUCCAAACAGAAUAAAAUCUUCGGGAACGUGAUUUUCUCACCAAACGUGAUCCAUGAGACUUGGACCCUGCCCUAAGGAACAAAAGAGGCGGUCACGAGGGUGGGGGGCGCCCCCCCUAGGGCGCGCCCCCCUGCCUCGUGGGCCCCUCGUUGCUCCUCGUGAAGGGUAACGUAGUAAUUUCAAAAAAUGUCCUACGCACAUGCAAGAUCAUGGUGAUGCAUAGCAACGAGAGUGGAGAGUGUGAUCUACGUACCCUUGUAGACCGACAACAGAAGCGUUAGCACAGCGCGGUUGAUGUAGUCGUACGUCUUCAUGGCCCGACCGAUCAAGCACCGAAACUACGACACCUCCGAGUUUUAGCACACAUUCAGCUCGAUGACGAUCCCCGGACUCCGAUCCAGCAAAGUGUCGGGGAAGAGUUCUGUCAGCACGACGGCGUGGUGACGAUCUUGAUGUACUAUCGUCGUAGGGCUUCGCCUAAGCACCGCUACAAUAUUAUCGAGGAUUAUGGUGGAAGGGGGCACCGCACACGGCUAAGAAUAUGAUCACGUGGAUCAACUCGUGCGUCUAGGGGUGCCCCCUGCCCCCAUAUAUAAAGGAUCAAGGGGAGGAGGCCGGCCGGCCCCUAUGGUGCGCCAAGGAGGAGUCCUCCUCCUAGUAGGAGUGGGACUCCUACUAGGAGGGGGAAAGAAGUGGGGAGGGAGAAGGAAAGGGGGGCGCCGCCCCCCCCCCUCUCCUAGUCCAAUUCGGACCAGGGGGAGGAGGCGCGCGGACCACCUUUGGCUGCCCCUCUCUCUCCACUAAGGCCCAUAUGGCCCAUUACUUCUCCCGGGAGGUUCCGGUAACACUCCGGCUCUCCGGUUUUCUCUGAAAUCACCCAGAACACUUCCGGUGUCCGAAUAUAGCCGUCCAAUAUAUCAAUCUUUAUGUCUCGACCAUUUCGAGACUCCUCGUCAUGUCCGUGAUCACAUCCGGGACUCCGAACUAACUUCGGUACAUCAAAACUCAUAAACUCAUAAUAUAACUGUCAUCGAAACCUUAAGCGUGCGGACCCUACGGGUUCGAGAACAAUGUAGACAUGACCGAGACACAUCUCUGGUCAAUAACCAAUAGCGGAACCUGGAUGCUCAUAUUGGCUCCUACAUAUUCUACGAAGAUCUUUAUCGGUCAGACCGCAUAACAACAUACGUUGUUCCCUUUGUCAUUGGUAUGUUACUUGCCCGAGAUUCGAUCGUCGGUAUCUCAAUACCUAGUUCAAUCUCGUUACCGACAAGUCUCUUUACUCGUUCCGUAAUACAUCAUCUCGCAACUAACUCAUUAGUUGCAAUGCUUGGAAGGCUUAUGUGAUGUGCAUUACCGAGAGGGCCCAGAGAUACCUCUCCGACAAUCGGAGUGACAAAUCCUAAUCUCGACAUACGCCAACCCAACAUGUACCUUUGGAGACACCUGUAGAGUACCUUUAUAAUCACCCAUUUACGUUGUGACGUUUGGUAGCACACAAAGUGUUCCUUCGACAAACGGGAGUUGCAUAAUCUCAUAGUCAUAGGAACAUGUAUAAGUCAUGAAGAAAGCAAUAGCAACAUACUAAACAAUCGGGUGCUAAGCUAAUGGAAUGGGUCAUGUCAAUCAGAUCAUUCACCUAAUGAUGUGAUCCCGUUAAUCAAAUAACAACUCUUUGUUCAUGGUUAGGAAACAUAACCAUCUUUGAUUAACGAGCUAGUCAAGUAGAGGCAUACUAGUGACACUCUGUUUGUCUAUGUACUCACACAUGUAUUAUGUUUCCGGUUAAUACAAUUCUAGCAUGAAUAAUAAACAUUUAUCAUGAUAUAAGGAAAUAAAUAAUAACUUUAUUAUUGCCUCUAGGGCAUAUUUCCUUCAGUCUCCCACUUGCACUAGAGUCAAUAAUCUAGAUUACACAGUAAUGAUUCUAACACCCAUGGAGCCUUGGUGCUGAUCAUGUUUUGCUCGUGGAAGAGGCUUAGUCAACGGGUCUGCAACAUUCAGAUCCGUAUGUAUCUUGCAAAUCUCUAUGUCUCCCACCUGGACUAGAUCCCGGAUGGAAUUGAAGCGUCUCUUGAUGUGCUUUGUUCUCUUGUGAAAUCUGGAUUCCUUUGCCAAGGCAAUUGCACCAGUAUUGUCACAAAAGAUUUUCAUUGGACCCGAUGCACUAGGUAUGACACCUAGAUCGGAUAUGAACUCCUUCAUCCAGACUCCUUCAUUUGCUGCUUCCGAAACAGCUAUGUACUCCGCUUCACAUGUAGAUCCCGCCACAACGGUUUGUUUAGAACUGCACCAACUGACAGCUCCACCAUUUAAUGUAAACACGUAUCCGGUUUGCGAUUUAGAAUCGUCCGGAUCAGUGUCAAAGCUUGCAUCAACGUAAACUUUUACGAUGAGCUCUUUGUCACCUCCAUAUAUGAAAAACAUAUCCUUAGUCCUUUUCAGGUAUUUCAGGAUGUUCUUGACCGCUGUCCAGUGAUCCACUCCUGGAUCACUUUGGUACCUCCGUGUUAAACUUAUAGCAAGGCACACAUCAGGUCUGGUACACAUCAUUCCAUACAUGAUAGAGCCUAUGGCUGAAGCAUAGGGAACAUCUUUCAUUUUCUCUCUAUCUUCUGCAGUGGUCGGGCAUUGAGUCUUACUCAACUUCACACCUUGUAACACAGGCAAGAACCCUUUCUUUGCUUGAUCCAUUUUGAACUUCUUCAAAAACUUUGUCAAGGUAUGUGCUUUGUGAAAGUCCAAUUAAGCGUCUUGAUCUAUCUCUAUAGAUCUUAAUGCCUAAUAUGUAAGCAGCUUCACCGAGUUCUUUCAUUGAAAAACUCUUAUUCAAGUAUCCCUUUAUGCUAUCCUGAAAUUCUAUAUCAUUUCCAAUUAGUAAUAUGUCAUCCACAUAUAAUAUCAGAAAUGCUACGGAGCUCCCACUCACUUUCUUGUAAAUACAGGCUUCUCCAAAAGUCUGUAUAAAACCAAAUGCUUUGAUCACACUAUCAAAGCGUUUAUUCCAACUCCGAGAGGCUUGCACCAGUCCAUAAAUGGAUCGCUGGAGCUUGCACACUUUGUUAGCUCCCUUUGGAUCGACAAAACCUUCUGGUUGCAUCAUAUACAACUCUUCUUCCAGAAAUCCAUUCAGGAAUGCAGUUUUGACAUCCAUCUGCCAAAUUUCAUAAUCAUAAAAUGCGGCAAUUGCUAACAUGAUUCGGAUAGACUUAAGCAUCGCUACAGGUGAGAAGGUCUCAUCGUAGUCAAUCCCUUGAACUUGCCGAAAACCUUUUGCGACAAGUCGAGCUUUGUAGACAGUAAUAUUACCGUCAGUGUCAGUCUUCUUCUUAAAGAUCCAUUUAUUCUCAAUUGCUUGCCGAUCAUCGGGCAAGUCAACCAAAGUCCAUACUUUGUUCUCAUACAUGGAUCCCAUCUCAGAUUUCAUGGCUUCAAGCCAUUUUGCGGAAUCUGGGCUCAUCGUCGCUUCUUCAUAGUUCGUAGGUUCAUCAUGAUCUAGUAGCAUGACUUCCAGAACAGGAUUACCGUACCACUCUGGUGCGGAUCUCACUCUGGUUGAUCUACGAGGUUUAGUAGUAUCUUGUUCUGAAGUUUCAUGAUCAUCAUCAUUAGCUUCCUCACUAACUGGUGUAGGUCUCACAGAAACAGUUUUCUAUGAUGCACUACUUUCCAAUAAGGGAGCAGGUACAGUUACCUUGUCAAGUUCUACUUUCCUCCCACUCACUUCUUUCGAGAGAAACUCCUUCUCUAGAAAGUUUCCGAACUUAGCAACAAAAGUCUUGCCUUCAGAUAUGUGAUAGAAGGUGUAUCCAAUAGUCUCCUUUGGAUAUCCUAUGAAGACACAUUUCUCCGAUUUGGGUUCGAGCUUAUCAGGUUGAAGCUUUUUCACAUAAGCAUCACAGCCCCAAACUUUCAGAAACGACAACUUUGGUUUCUUGCCAAACCAUAGUUCAUAAGGCGUCGUCUCAACGGAUUUUGAUGGUGCCCUAUUUAACAUGAAUGCGGCCGUCUCCAAAGCAUGACCCCAAAAUGAUAGCGGUAAAUCAGUAAGAGACAUCAUAGAUCACACCAUAUCUAGUAAAGUACGAUUACGACGUUCGGACACACCAUUACGCUGUGGUGUUCCGGGUGGCGUGAGUUGCGAAACUAUUCCGCAUUGUUUCAAAUGUACACCAAACUCGUAACUCAAAUAUUCUCCUCCACGAUCAGAUCGUAGAAACUUUAUUUUCUUGUUAUGAUGAUUUUCAACUUCACUCUGAAAUUCUUUGAACUUUUCGAACGUUUCAGAAUUAUGUUUCAUUAAGUAGAUAUACCCAUAUCUCCUUAAGUCACCUGUGAAGGUGAGAAAAUAACGAUAUCCGCCACGAGCCUCAAUAUUCAUCGGACCACAUACAUCUGUAUGUAUGAUUUCCAACAAAUCUGUUGCUCUCUCCAUAGUACCAGAGAACGGUGUUUUAGUCAUCUUGCCCAUGAGGCACAGUUCGCAAGUACCAAGUGAUUCAUAAUCAAGUGGUUCCAAAAGUCCAUCAGUAUGGAGUUUCUUCAUGCGCUUUAGACCGAUAUGACCUAAACGGCAGUGCCACAAAUAAGUUGCACUAUCAUUAUCAACUCUGCAUCUUUUGGCUUCAACACUAUGAAUAUGUGUGUCACUACUAUCGAGAUUCAAUAAAAAUAGACCACUCUUUAAGGGUGCAUGACCAUAAAAGAUAUUACUCAUAUAAAUAGAACAACCAUUAUUCUCAGAUUUAAAUGAAUAACCGUCUCGCAUCAAACAAGAUCCAGAUAUAAUGUUCAUGCUUAACGCUGGCACCAAAUAACAAUUAUUUAGGUCUAAUAUUAAUCCCGAAGGUAGAUGUAGAGGUAGCGUGCCGACUGCGAUCACAUCGACUUUGGAACCGUUUCCCACGCGCAUCGUCACCUCGUCCUUAGCCAAUCUUCGCUUAAUCCGUAGUCCCUGUUUCGAGCUGCAAAUAUUAGCAACAGAACCAGUAUCAAAUACCCAGGUGCUACUGCGAGCAUUGGUAAGGUACACAUCAAUAACAUGUAUAUCACAUAUACCUUUGUUCACCUUGCCAUCCUUCUUAUCCGCCAAAUACUUGGGGCAGUUCCGCUUCCAGUGACCAGUCUGCUUGCAGUAGAAGCACUCAGUUUCAGGCUUAGGUCCAGGUUUGGGUUUCUUCUCUUGAGUAGCAACUUGCUUGCUGUUCUUUUUGAAGUUCCCCUCCUUCUUCCCUUUGCCCUUUUUCUUGAAACUAGUGGUCUUGUUGACCAUCAACACUUGAUGCUCCUUCUUGAUUUCUACCUCCGCAGCUUUCAGCAUUGCGAAGAGCUCGGGAAUAGUCUUAUUCAUCCCUUGCAUAUUAUAGUUCAUCACGAAGCUCUUGUAGCUUGGUGGCAGUGAUUGGAGAAUUCUGUCAAUGAUGCAAUCAUCUGGAAGAUUAACUCCCAAUUGAAUCAAGUGAUUAUUAUACCCAAACAUUUUGAGUAUAUGUUCACUGACAGAACUGUUCUCCUCCAUCUUGCAGCUAUAGAACUUAUUGGAGACUUCAUAUCUCUCAAUCCGGGCAUUUGCUUGAAAUAUUAACUUCAACUCCUGGAACAUCUCAUAUGCUCCAUGACGUUCAAAACGUCGUUGAAGUCCCGAUUCUAAGCCGUAAAGCCUGGCACACUGAACUAUCGAGUAGUCAUCAGCUUUGCUCUGCCAGACGUUCAUAACAUCUGUUGUUGCUCCAGCAGCAGGCCUGGCACCCAGCGGUGCUUCUAGGACGUAAUUCUUCUGUGCAGCAAUGAGGAUAAUCCUCAAGUUACGGACCCAGUCCGUGUAAUUGCUACCAUCAUCUUUCAACUUUGCUUUCUCAAGGAACGCAUUAAAAUUCAAUGGAAUAAUAGCACGAGCCAUCUAUCUACAAUCAAGCAUAAACAAGCAAGAUACUAUCAGGUACUAAGUUUCAUGAUAAAUUUAGGUUCAAUUAAUUUACUUAAAGAACUCCCACUUAGAUAGACAUCCCUCUAAUCCUCUAAGUGAUUAUGUGAUCCAAAUCAACUAAACCAUGUCCCAUCAUCACGUGAGAUGGAGUAGUUUCAUUGGUGAACAUCACUAUGUUGAUCAUAUCUACUAUAUGAUUCACGAUCGACCUUUCGGUCUCCGUGUUCCGAGGCCAUAUCUGUAUAUGCUUGGCUCGUCAAGUAUAACCUGAGUAUUCCGCGUGUGCAACUGUUUUGCACCCGUUGUAUUUCAACGUAGAGCCUAUCACACCCGAUCAUCACGUGGUGUCUCAGCAUGAAGAACUUCCGCAACGGUGCAUACUCAGGGAGAACACUUCUUGAUACUUAGUGAGAGAUCAUCUUAUAAUGCUACCGUCAAACAAAGCAAGAUAAGAUGCAUAAAAGAUAAACAUCACAUGCAAUCAAUAUAAGUGAUAUGAUAUGGCCAUCAUCAUCUUGUGCUUGUGAUCUCCAUCUUUGAAGCACCGUCGUGAUCACCAUCGUCACCGGCGCGACACCUUGAUCUCCAUCGUAGCAUCGUUGUCAUCUCGCCAAUCUUAUGCUUCCACGACUAUCGCUACCGCUUAGUGAUAAAGUAAAGCAUUACAGCACGAUUGCAUUGCAUACAAUAAAGCGACAACCAUAUGGCUCCUGCCAGUUGCCGAUAACUCGGUUACAAAACAUGAUCAUCUCAUACAAUAAAAUUUAGCAUCAUGUCUUGACCAUAUCACAUCACAACAUGCCCUGCAAAAACAAGUUAGACGUCCUCUACUUUGUUGUUGCAAGUUUUACGUGGCUGCUACGGGCUUAAGCAAGAACCAAUCUUACCUACGCAUCAAAACCACAACGAUAGUUUGUCAAGUUGGUGUUGUUUUAACCUUCGCAAGGACCGGGCGUAUCCACACUCGGUUCAACUAAAGUAGGAGAAACUGUCACCCGCAAGCCACCUAUGUGCAAAGCACGUUGGGAGAACCGGUCUCGCGUAAGCGUGCGCAUAAUGUCGGUCCAGGCCGCUUCGUCCAACAAUACCGCCGAACCAAAGUAUGACAUGCUAGUAAGCAGUAUGACUUAUAUCGCCCACAACUCACUUGCGUUCUACUCGUGCAUAUAACAUCAACAUAUAAAACCUAGGCUCGGAUGCCACUGAAGGGUAACGUAGUAAUUUCAAAAAAUUUCCUACGCACACGCAAGAUCAUGGUGAUGCAUAGCAACGAGAGGGGAGAGUGUGAUCUACGUACCCUUGUAGACCGACAGCGGAAGCGAUAGCACAACGCGGUUGAUGUAGUCGUACGUCUUCACGGCCCGACCGAUCAAGCACCGAAACUACGGCACCUCCGAGUUUUAGCACACGUUCAGCUCGAUGACGAUCCCCGGACUCCGAUCCAGCAAAGUGUCGGGGAAGAGUUCCGUCAGCACGACGACGUGGUGACGAUCUUGAUGUACUAUCGUCGCCGGGCUUCGCCUAAGCACCGCUACAAUAUUAUCGAGGAUUAUGGUGGAAGGGGGCACCGCACACGGCUAAGAAUAUGAUCACGUGGAUCAACUUGUGUGUCUAGGGGUGCCCCCUGCCCCCGUAUAUAAAGGAUCAAGGGGAGGAGGCCGGCCGGCCCCUAUGGCGCGCCAAGGAGGAGUCCUCCUCCUAGUAGGAGUCCUACUCCUACUAGGAGGGGGAAAGAAGUGGGGAGGGAGAAGGAAAGGGGGGCGCCGCCCCCCUCUCCUAGUCCAAUUCGGACCAGGGGGAGGAGGCGCGCGGCCCACCUUUGGCUGCCCCUCUCUCUCUCCACUAAGGCCCAUAUGGCCCAUUACUUCUCCCGGGGGGGUUCCGGUAACCCUCCGGCUCUCCGGUUUUCUUUGAAAUCACCCGAAACACUUCCGGUGUCCGAAUAUAGCCGUCCAAUAUAUCAAUCUUUAUGUCUCGGCCAUUUUGAGACUCCUCGUCAUGUCUGUGAUCACAUCCAGGACUCCGAACUAACUUCGGUACAUCAAAACUCGUAAACUCAUAAUAUAACUGUCAUCGAAACCUUAAGCGUGCGGACCCUACGGGUUCGAGAACAAUGUAGACAUGACCGAGACACGUCUCCGGUCAAUAACCAAUAGCGGAACCUGGAUGCUCAUAUUGGCUCCUACAUAUUCUAUGAAGAUCUUUAUCGGUCAGACCGCAUAACAACAUACGUUGUUCCCUUUGUCAUCGGUAUGUUACUUGCCCGAGAUUCGAUCGUCGGUAUCUCAAUACCUAGUUGAAUCUCGUUACCGGCAAGUCUCUUUACUCAUUCCGUAAUACAUCAUCUCGCAACUAACUCAUUAGUUGCAAUGCUUGCAAGGCUUAUGUGAUGUGCAUUACCGAGAGGGCCCAGAGAUACCUCUCCGACAAUCGGAGUGACAAAUCCUAAUCUCGAAAUACGCCAACCCAACAUGUACCUUUGGAGACACCUGUAGAGUACCUUUAUAAUCACCCAUUUACGUUGUGAAGUUUGGUAGCACACAAAGUGUUCCUCCGACAAACGGGAGUUGCAUAAUCUCAUAGUCAUAGGAACAUGUAUAAGUCAUGAAGAAAGCAAUAGCAACAUACUAAACGAUCGUGUGCUAAGCUAAUGGAAUGGGUCAUGUCAAUCAGAUCAUUCACCUAAUGAUGUGAUCCCGUUAAUCAAAUAACAACUCUUUGUUCAUGGUUAGGAAACAUAACCAUCUUUGAUUGACGAGCUAGUCAAGUAGAGGCAUACUAGUGACACUCUGUUUGUCUAUGUAUUCACACAUGUAUUAUGUUUCCGGUUAAUACAAUUCUAGCAUGAAUAAUAAACAUUUAUCAUGAUAUAAGGAAAUAAAUAAUAACUUUAUUAUUGCCACUAGGGCAUAUUUCCUUCACCUCCGGCGUACUUCUUCCUCGUAUAUAUACACAUGUACCCCCAAACAAUCAGAAGAGGAGCCAAAAACCUAAUUCCACCGCCGCAACUUUCUGUAUCAGAAGAGAUCCCAUCUUGGGGCCUGUUCCGGAGCUCCGCCAGAAGAGGGCCGUCAUCACGGAGGGCUUCUACAUCAUCCUAGCCGCUCCGAUGAAGUGUGAGUUGUUUACCUAUGACCUUCGGGUCCAUAGUUAGUAGCUAGAUGGCUUCUUCUCUCUCUUUGAAUCUGAAUACAAAGUUCUCCCCCUCUCUUGUGGAGAUCUAUUCGAUGUAAUCUUCUUUUUGCGGUGUGUUUGUUGAGACCGAUGAAUUGUGGGUUUAUGAUCAAGUCUAUCUAUGAAUAAUAUUUGAAUCUUCUCUGAAUUCUUUAUGUAUGAUUGGUUAUCUAUGCAAGUCUCUUCGAAUUGUCCGUUUGGUUUGGCCAACUAGAUUGGUAGUUCUUGCCAUGGGAGAAGUGCUUAGCUUUGGGUUCGAUCUUGCGGUGUCCUUACCCAGUGACAGAAGGGGCAGCAAGGCACGUAUUGUAUCGUUGCCGUCGAGGAUAACAAGAUGGGGUUUAUUUCAUAUUGCAUGAAUUUAUCUCUCUACAUCAUGUCAUCUUGCUUAAGGCGUUACUCUGUUUUUAACUUAAUACUCUAGAUGCAUGCUGGAUAGCGGUCGAUGAGUGGAGUAAUAGUAGUAGAUGCAGAAUCAUUUCGAUCUACAUGUCACGGACGUGAUGCCUAUAUACAUGAUCAUGCCUAGAUAUUCUCAUAACUAUGCUCAAUUCUGUCAAUUGCUCCACAAUAAUUUGUUCACCCACCAUAGAAUACUUAUGCUCUUGAGAGAAGCCACUAGUGAAACCUAUGGCCCUCGGGUCUAUUCUCAUCAUAUCAAUCUCCAUCACUUUAAAUCUUGCUUUGUUUUUACUUUGCUUUUACUUUUUAAUUUGCAUCUUUAUACCAAAAAUACCAAAAAUAUUAUAUCUAUCAGAUCUCAUUCUCGUAAGUGACCGUGAAGGGCUUGACAACCCCUAAUCGCGUUGGUUGCGAGUAGCGAUCGCUUUGUGCAGGUACGAGGGACUUGAGCGUGGGCUCCUACUGGAUUGAUACCUUGGUUCUCAAAAACUAAGGGAAAUAUUUACGCUACUCUGCUGCAUCAUCCCUUCCUCUUCGGGGAAAACCAACGCAAGCUCAAGAUGUAGCAGGUGUUGAGUUGAGUUACCGAAUGGAAAUUGUAAUAGCUCAUGAAGCAGUAAAAAUUGAGGUGUUUGGAAUCUCAUAUGAAAUGUUAUGAGUUGUUUGUUGAUUGUGAGUGCCUCUCUCACUAUGUCACCCAGACAUAAACCUUGAACCCAUGGACAAGUUGACCCCAAAACCUUCACUAAAAAACCACAUUUCACCCAAGGAAAUACAUGCAUUAUCCUAAGUACCCCUUCUAUCUUAUACCUGCAGAUGGCAACCCUUUACGAGUCUUUUCUCAAGGGCCCGGAAACGAUCAUGACCCUAACUAGUGAUCAGGAUUACCCAAAGAUCCUCAAGGACAUGAUGAAGCAUAUUCAUCUUGAAGGAGAUGCAGUCUACAAGGGUUAUCCUUUCAUGGAGAAUGGAGUUGAACUUUGGUACAUGGAAGUACACCUCCACCGUGUGAAGGGAGUUUUCCCAAAGACUAUGGGGCAAUACUUUUUCAUUUCUCGAGUACCCCGAGCAACAUUCUUCGACUCUGUUCGUGAAGCUGCUACGGAAGCCAUAUGUCAGAUUGGAGAAAUACUUGAAGCCAGACUUCGUUAUACUCAGGAAUACCCGAGGGAGGUGCAUGCAGUGAUGAUGGAGAUGAAGCUCAUGGCCACCAUGAUGAAGCAAAAGGUCGAUGAUUUCAAGGACCACAUUGUACAAUUCCAGUGGUACUAAAUUAUCUUCAAGAAGGGCAAAUGAAUAAAGAUGGAAGUAAUGCUUGACCAUACCAAACUAUGUGGAUGGCAGCUUUUUGUAAUAGAGUACUUUUGAAAUUUGAGUUUUGAGUAGUGGUUAAGGAUGUAAUAAAGGAUUUAAUAUGAAGAGAAUUGUGGAUGAACCGGUGCAUUUUUUUGGCGAUACCUGUCUGUGUGAACACUUGACCAAUGGAAAAGGAAAUGUAUUCCAUAGAGUGAAGUUUGGACAAAUGAGUUGGAGUUUGGUUUUAGUUAUGAUGGUUACCCCAAGAGUAUGAAUGAAUGAAGUACUAUUGGAUUUAAAGGAGAUGUAAUGUUGGAAUAUGGAACAAUAGUAACUCCAAGGAUGAGUUAAAGAUAUACAAGUGUUGAAAUGGGCCAUAACCCACAGGACCCAGGAUUUGAUAAGGAAACAAGCACAAUCUUGUUGAAGAAAAUAAUUCUGAAAGAAGCCAUGAUUUCAUCAGCAUAUUCAUAGGAGGUUACAUAAACCCAGGAGUUGUGAAUAAACGAUAGAGGUUUUCUUUGGCUUGCAGAACCAAUGGAUUUAUUCGAACCCAGUUCAUGGAGAAGAGAAGUUCUGCAAUGCUUGUGAGGAUGCCCAAGGGCUAGAAUGCGUGAUUCACUAUCUGCGUAUGUGGUACUGAUUCAAGUACGACAUGGAUUGGACCCCAUACCGGAGACUUCUAUCAUGAGCUAUCAUAUGAUUGAUAGAAAAUCAGAGAGCCUUAAAACCCUAGAAGAGUGUCGACACGACAAGCCAAAAGCCUUAGAAUGGCAGGAUGAUGGAAACCCUGUACAGGCACCUAUUGCCAAUCGUAGGUUAUGCAGUGAGGUUCAACCCAGACCCAUUUCCUGUAGGAGGAACCAGAAAUUGUCGACCACCAUGAGGUUUUCGAUAGUUGUUUAGCAUUGGCGCCAGACCUGUCAAGUCUCAGAAGGAUCCUAUUUUGAUGCAAGGACUCCUGAUUUUGAGGAAAAGGCCAUGCCCUUACCAGAAGAGCAAAAGUGAAGGUGUUAUCUCGGAGAAUAUGAGAAGACCGACACCGUCAACGCAAAGGAUGGAGUACAUGAGUUUUGUUGGAACUGUAACCAUGCUUCUAAGGGUGGUAGCACCCCAUUCCUUGUGUUGAUGAAUGGAUUUUCAAGGAGAACCCCCAAACCUAACAUUCUUUCUAGCCUCUUCGAAUCUCGAGGACGAUAUUCAUUUUAAGGGUGGUAGUUUGUAACAUCCCAAAAUUCUAAAUUUUGGAAUGUUAUGUUAAAUAAUUAAUUCUGAUUGUUUGUUUGUCGUGUGAUUGAUUGUGUGAAAAUGAUUGGAAAUUGAAAACUUUUUGAAAGUAGAAUGAGAGGGAAUAAAAGGACUUUCCCGAAACUUUUCAUCUUGCAUUUUGAUCUUCCUGAAUUCAAAUUCAUUACAUCAUAAAACCCUAGAGUGAAGAUAAUAUGACUUCUUCCAUUUAAAGAAAUGAAAAAAGGGGAUUGAAAAUGAUUUGAAUUCCAUUUGAAACAUUUUAAAUUUAGAAACUUUAAGCAACUCAAUGAGUUCAUGAGGGAAGAUAAAAUGACUUCUUCAAAUCGAUGGAAGAGAGUUGGAAGUUUCAAAGGAAUAAUUUGAAGUCACUUUGAAGUUAUUUGAAACUCAUUUUUCCAUUUGAAGUUGUUUGAAAUUCCAAAUUUCAAAUCCUCUUGGGAGUUAUUUAGUUUUAAUUCAAAUUAUUUUUCCCCUAAAAAUAAAUAGAUGGGAAUAAGGGUAAAAUGAUUCCCUUCAAUAGAAAAUUAGGAGAAAUAUAUCUGAAAUCAUUUUGCUAUUUAAAAAAUGAUUUUUAUUGAUUUUAAAUGCCAUAGUAGCACUGUUUGAAUUUUAUGAAUUUUUAUGGAAUUUAGUUGAACUUGAAAAAUAAUUCAUCUUAUUGCUGCUAUUUUUCUGAGCAUUUUCGUAUAUAAUAUUCCUACGUAAUUUUUUUAGUUAUUUUCCUAUGUUGAAGUUUUUGUUUCUGCAAAAAAAAACACGCGCCCGCCAGCCGGCCCAGGGCCUUCGGCCCAAGAGCCAGCUAGCGCACCGAGCCGGCCCAGCAGCGCCCCAGGCCGCCCCAGGCCUUACGCCUCGCUCGCCCGCGCCCCUCUUCCCUCGCUCGAUCUCUCCCACUGCCGCUGCCAGUGGGGCCCGCAACCCUCCGUCCCUAACCUCCCGCUCCUCCCGUUCAGUUAGGGCACGCGCGUGCCGCCCGCAACUGCCGGCAGCUCCGCUCGGGAUAGAGCUCAUCCGCAGUCUCCGCAGCCUCUUCUCGCGCCUAUAAAUUCCCUCGACUCCCUUCGUUCGAUUCUGCCAUUCCGCAACGAUCCACGCCGCUGACAGCCGCCGCCUUCGUCGUUUGGAUCUUGCCCGCCGGAGCUACCUCGCCGGUCCGUUCCGCCGCCCGUAAGACUUCCUCGACCCCGUUCUUCUUUUUCAAUUGACUCCCCGCGUCGAGGCGCAUCUGAUUGACAAAAUUUUGCCGCCUAGGUCGUACCAGAGACGCCGCCCCGACGCGUCGCGCUCUUGCCGAAGCACCGGAGCUCCGCCGCCUCCCUCCGCUCGUCGCUGGCCACCCCACCACCCGCCGACCCCACCAGCACGCCGCCCACGCCGCGCCUGACCUCCCUGACCCCUUCGUCGCCGCUGAGGACCACCAGAGACGCCGCCCUGUCCGCCGUCCGCCGCCUGACGCCAGCGGCGCCGCCCCUGUUCGCCGUCCUCGCUCGCUAUGAGCCGCUGAUCCUCGCUCAUUUUUUGUUGUUGUUGUAUUAGAUCGGGUAACCGUGGUUUUAUUAAACCGUGCGGUUUAGUAAAAAAAGGUCUCCGGUUUUCUUUUUAUUUAGCCACGGUAGCCGUUUUAUUUAUUCAGUGGCCGUCCGCAGUUUAGCCUGAGCCGCGAACGCUGCUCAGCCACCUGGAAGCCGCCACGUGGCCAGGGAUCUGGUCGUGAAUAAAACUUUCAUAGUCAAGUCCCCGAGUUUUCAAUUUAGCCCCUAAACUUCGAAUGGUUGUAUCUUUUUAACCGUAACUCCAAAUUCGACGAAACCAGUGGCAAAAUGUUCGUCUCGAAUAGUUUUAUCCAGAGAACCAACUUUGAAAACUUCUGGCCAAAUUCAAAUUUGAACUUUAUUCAGAUUUGAAUUCAAACUUCAACUGGCCAUAUCUCUUAAACCGUAGAUCCGAUUGGUGUGAUUCUUUUUGCAACGUGUCAUCAUAGCCAAACCCUACCACCUGGACCUUGUCACAAUACUUUUCACACAACUAGAAUCUGUCUAUGAUAGUUUUACUAUUAUGCCAUGCAUGCACUUUAGUACACAUCACAGUUUUGAACCCCAUGUCACAAGUUGUUUUGCACUUAGGAUAUUUCCAUGCUAGUUAACUGUGUUGAAUGUUCAUUUGGUUUUUCUGAGACUUUGGGCUUUGCAUGUUCUUCUUGGUUAUCUGAAAUGAUUGCUGAGAGUGACGAAUAGUUCUAUGAAGUAAAUUUCUGAGAGUGGUAUAAUCUUCAUCAACUAUUACCAGGCAACUUCACAUUUGACCAUUUUUCCAAUUACCUAUGUUUAUAUUAUGCACUUAGUCCUUUUGUGGUAGGAUUGCAUGGUAGGAUUUAUUGUUUCCAGAUGGCUAUGCCGUUACCUAGUAGUUCAUUUGAGGUAGGUAUGAUCUAUACAUCCUUGUCACCACCGUGUAAGUUUAUUUUUGCCUCUCUAAAUGUAGACGUGGUUUGGGAAGCGAAAAUGGCGAGACAUGAGUGACAAAGUAGUAAUCAAGACCAAGACAUGUAAAUGAACUACCUGGGCGGUAUUUGGUUUGAAUGGUGGCGAAGUACAGUGAGAGCAUGCAUGGUUAAUCCAUGGUGGUGCACCACUAGUGGUUGGCCGCUCAGGCUCAAAGAGAUGAAUCGUAUUCUCAUGUCUAGAAGCUUAUGUGUGCAGCCACAAGCCAAUAUGGGCUCUAGCUUAGUUGAGUAGUUAGUGUGACCUCUUCCGGGAUGGGCUAGCAGAUGUAGAAUGAUGUAGGUGUACCGGCCUAUCCGUGGGUUAAGGGGAACAUUUUCGAAAGACUAUGUCUCGGUCAUCCUGUUCUCAAACGCCAGGUAGUGCGAGAACUCCAGGGGAGGCGAUCGAGUCUUGUGGGGAAAAGUGCGCAAACCUCUGCAGUGUUAAAACCUAAUCGAUUAGCCGUGUCACCGGUUACGGAAAACUUGAGAAUCUAGUAGUGGAAAUGCUGGGAGAUCUCAUCACUCUUAAUUAAACAAUUGGGUUUUAAAUGAAACUUUGGGAAUGGAUUGAGUUGGGUUUGCCAACUCAUCCUAUGCUAUACUAUAGUGAUAGACUAAUAUCUUUUAUUCUAGGGAAAAACUAGCUUUAUGCAAAAACUAAACUUAGGGCUUUCCACCAGCCAAAUUGCAUGUACAAAUAGGUUCAUUAUUCUUAUGAUGUGACUUACCAGUACAUUCA
Molecule: long non-coding RNA, 42449 nt
Filed under: Triticum aestivum (bread wheat)
Lineage: Eukaryota; Viridiplantae; Streptophyta; Magnoliopsida; Poales; Poaceae
Description: long non-coding RNA (TAES_LNC014021)
Rfam family: MIR1120/MIR1122 microRNA precursor family (bases 1496-1610)
Source: RNAcentral